RNAcentral lists this ribosomal RNA (253 nucleotides) under uncultured bacterium. Its description in RNAcentral is "partial 16S ribosomal RNA". It matches the Rfam family "Bacterial small subunit ribosomal RNA", at positions 524 to 776 of the family's 1533-position model. The record is from RNAcentral.
UACAGAGGUCCCAAGCGUUGUUCGGAAUUACUGGGCGUAAAGGGUUCGUAGGUGGCUGGCUAAGCCAGACGUGAAAUCCCUCAGCUUAACUGGGGAACUGCGUCUGGGACUGGUCGGCUUGAGUGCAGGAGAGGAACGCGGAAUUCCAGGUGUAGCGGUGAAAUGCGUAGAUAUCUGGAGGAACACCGGUGGCGAAGGCGGCGUUCUGGACUGCAACUGACACUGAGGAACGAAAGCCAGGGGAGCAAACGGG